GGUCCCAUCUUGAACACCAUUGACAUAGGGGUUUGGAGACUAAGUUUCCAGCACGGGCAAUUUGAGGGACCCUGUCAAACCAUCCUACCACAUCACAACUGGUCAAUGGCCACCACAGACUCCAGCUCUGUACCUCCUGGAGACAUCAGAAUGACACUGUUGGCAAGCACCCCAAUACUGGAACCUUUCAGAUGUCCCCUGUGAGCUGACCACGGUUGAGAAGUCCAGGCUCAUGUCUGCUAUUCUGUCAUCUCCCGUGGCUCGAGCCUCACUCACCUGCUCACAGGUGGAACCCCAGCAUCCUAGAUGACACAGCCACAGCCUGUUUCUUGCCAAGUAAAUACACAGUCAGCUCAAGUCUUUAGGCAGCCCAUGUUUACAGCCUCCCCCAAAGCCUUUCACAGGCUUGAGCCCCAAAGCUUGAGGCCUGGGGCAGAAUUGGAAAUCUACCUCUUCCCAGAGCAGCAAGUGGGUAGUGGAUUCAGUCAGUUAAUGGAUAAUCAUUCGCUGAGUCGCAAUUUCCCAUUCUAAGAAGUGAAACUGCAAAUGAU
This 551-nucleotide long non-coding RNA is filed under the name Mus caroli (Ryukyu mouse). RNAcentral's name for it is "lncRNA (MGP_CAROLIEiJ_G0004716.1)". The record is from RNAcentral. Lineage: Eukaryota; Metazoa; Chordata; Mammalia; Rodentia; Muridae.